Molecule: ribosomal RNA, 119 nt
Organism: Monodon monoceros (narwhal)
Lineage: Eukaryota; Metazoa; Chordata; Mammalia; Artiodactyla; Monodontidae
Source: Ensembl
GUCUACGGUCAUACCACCCUGAACGCGCCCGAUCUCAUCUGAUCUCGGAAGCUAAGCAGGGUCGGGCCUGGUUAGUACUUGGAUGGGAGACCGCCUGGGAAUACUGGGUACUGUAGUCU